UCACAUGACGUCGCCUGGCGGACAGACCGAGUCCGAGAGCUGGUGUCCAGCCUGAGACUCACCUUCGGCCGCAGUGGAUCGGAUCCGACGUUCUCUGACACCAUCCCUGUUGUCAGGAAGGACUGAAUAAUGAAGACACAAGAUCUGUGGAGGCAAAGGGAUAGUUGAUGCUUCGGGUCGAGGCCCAGCACCAGGACUGUGAGUGUAAAGCGAAGAUAAACAGUAUGAAGAGGGUGACAUCAUGUAAACGUGGAUGGCAAAAGGAUAUUCAUCUACAACUAAAAUUCUCCAUCAAGCACAGCCCGUCAGACUAUUACACAAGAUUCCACUACAUUUGUUGACACCUGCCUACAAAACACCCCUGCUGUAUUCAGACAACCUCCCUGCCUCAAAGUGGAGAUGGUCAGGUCCCAUGGUUUCAAUUUAGCAGCCAAGACGCAAGAAUUGAUACGGGUUAUCUUGUUCCAAAGUUUAACCUUUUCUAUUGCAUUCUUACAGAACCAUGUAUUUGUACCGAACAAAAUUGCUACAUUAAACUUCAAGGUUCACUUAAGCAGCUUAGAACAACUUGCAAGCCGAUUUUUGCUAUCUCAAAGAAGCCAUUCAGACAGAUCCAGUGGUUUAAUUAAUUCUAAAUGCAAAAUAACUCUGCUUUGCUGAAUAUAGAUGGACGUUCAAGACAGCAGGUGCAGCCAAAAGUAGUGCCAAAUCCAAUAAAGUUUUAUUUUCCAAUGGAACAAAUAAA
Pristis pectinata (smalltooth sawfish) is the source of this 745-nucleotide long non-coding RNA. RefSeq lists it as uncharacterized. Lineage: Eukaryota; Metazoa; Chordata; Chondrichthyes; Rhinopristiformes; Pristidae. The record is from RefSeq and is a predicted model, not a curated record. The transcript has 3 exons.